This 253-nucleotide ribosomal RNA is filed under the name uncultured bacterium. RNAcentral describes it as "partial 16S ribosomal RNA". It matches the Rfam family "Bacterial small subunit ribosomal RNA", at positions 524 to 776 of the family's 1533-position model. The record is from RNAcentral.
UACGUAGGGGGCAAGCGUUGUCCGGAUUUAUUGGGCGUAAAGAGCGUGUAGGCGGCUUUACAGGUCCGUUGUGAAAACUCGAGGCUCAACCUCGAGACGCCGGUGGAAACCGUAAAGCUAGAGUCCGGAAGAGGAGAGUGGAAUUCCUGGUGUAGCGGUGAAAUGCGCAGAUAUCGGGAGGAACACCCGUGGCGAAAGCGGCUCUCUGGGACGGUACUGACGCUGAGACGCGAAAGCGUGGGGAGCAAACAGG